UAUCAUGGCUCAGGACGAACGCUGGCGGCGCGCCUAACACAUGCAAGUCGAACGAGCGAGAGAGAGCUUGCUUUCUCAAGCGAGUGGCGAACGGGUGAGUAACGCGUGAGGAACCUGCCUCAAAGAGGGGGACAACAGUUGGAAACGACUGCUAAUACCGCAUAAGCCCACGACCCGGCAUCGGGUAGAGGGAAAAGGAACAAUCCGCUUUGAGAUGGCCUCGCGUCCGAUUAGCUAGUUGGUG
This 244-nucleotide ribosomal RNA is filed under the name uncultured bacterium. RNAcentral describes it as "partial 16S ribosomal RNA". It matches the Rfam family "Bacterial small subunit ribosomal RNA", at positions 15 to 254 of the family's 1533-position model. The record is from RNAcentral.